UCUUACCUUUUUUUUUUUUAACUUUAAUUUAAAUCCACACAUGCUUAAUUUUAAAAGCUAAAAUAUUAGAAAACUUAGCAUUCACUUGAUGUUUUUUAAAAAGUACAAGAAAGUUUUGAAGGGCAAUGCAAAGGCUAUUUUGAAUUUUGAUGAGUUAUAUACAAUGAGAUCAUGUCUCAAUUAGAACAUGAACAUGGGCCUAAGGGACGGUAUAUGUGGGCAUACCCAACUGGAUGUAUUAAGUAAAAUCUCAUUCUGUCUGUUUACACCCACACCCAGUCCCAACAAGCAAAUUGUAUUCAAACCAAAAAUCUUAUCAAAUAAUAAGACGUUAAAUGUCGAAUUUAACUUUUUUAUUUUUUGCGUGCACCCAAAUUGAAUCUUUUGGUGGAUCUUCACAAAGAAUAUGACAAUAGAUAUAAAAAAAAAAAUUGAGUUGGAAGCUAUCCAAACAUUUUUAACGACAAGCGGUUUUUUGAUGAAUUUUGAAUGAUAAAGAGAGAAAUGAACAAUUUAUUGAAACAACAGUAUUGCUCAUUAAUUUUCUCAUUAAAAUUGCUAUAAGCAAUGUACAAAUUUGCACAUCCUCAUGAAAUUAAAUUUUGGAUCUGGCCUGAUUUGAGAUGCAUUAUUCUAUUAAUGAUUUGGUCCUAUGUGUGCAUUAAUAACAAUCUUACACGCAUAGUUAUCUAAUAGCUUUCAAUUACGCAAGUUCACAACAUUGUAAAAAGUAUAAACUUUGAAUCCUAGUCCUAGGAUAUUAUUUAUUUAUUUCAAUCAUUUUAUACAUACAUUUUAAAAUACACCUAAGAUACCACAUUAGUUAUAAUACGAGUAAAUGAUAUUUGCAAUGUCUGUAUUUAUUUUGAAAAAUAAUUCUGCAAGUGAUAGUUGUAUUAAAUUCAAUUACAUAUGUAAUACAUUCGGUCAAUACUAUUAAGAAUAAAUGCUUGUUUUAUCCUUAUAUUUUGACUUAAGAUUCGGUUUAGUCUUUAUUUUUUAAAAAUCACCUUAAGACACCCAUAUUGUUAAAUAUAUUAUGUUCCUACCCUUAAUUGUUAUUUCUUUUUUUUUUACAAUAAUACCCUUACAACAAUAUUAUUGGGAAUAUAAAUGAAAAGAAAAAAUAUUAAUUCAUAAAAAAGCCUUAAAA
RNAcentral lists this long non-coding RNA (1153 nucleotides) under Citrus x clementina. RNAcentral describes it as "Citrus clementina (C. clementina) long non-coding RNA (CCLE_LNC005291)". The record is from RNAcentral. Lineage: Eukaryota; Viridiplantae; Streptophyta; Magnoliopsida; Sapindales; Rutaceae.